UACGGAGGGUGCGAGCGUUUUUCGGAAUCACUGGGCGUAAAGGGCGUGUAGGCGGUCCGCUAAGUCUGAUGUGAAAGCCCGGGGCUCACCCCCGGAAGGGCAUUGGAAACUGGCGGACUCGAGUCCCGGAGAGGAAGGUGGAAUUCCUGGUGUAGCGGUGAAAUGCGUAGAUAUCAGGAGGAAUACCGGUGGCGAAGGCGGCCUUCUGGACGGUGACUGACGCUGAGACGCGAAAGCGUGGGGAGCAAACAGG
This 253-nucleotide ribosomal RNA is filed under the name uncultured bacterium. RNAcentral's name for it is "partial 16S ribosomal RNA". It matches the Rfam family "Bacterial small subunit ribosomal RNA", at positions 524 to 776 of the family's 1533-position model. The record is from RNAcentral.